RNAcentral lists this ribosomal RNA (292 nucleotides) under uncultured Alphaproteobacteria bacterium. Its description in RNAcentral is "partial 16S ribosomal RNA". The record is from RNAcentral. Lineage: Bacteria; Pseudomonadati; Pseudomonadota; Alphaproteobacteria.
GGACUACACGGGUUUCUAAUCCUGUUUGCUCCCCACGCUUUCGCGCCUCAGCGUCAGUAUCGGACCAGGUCGCCGCCUUCGCCACCGGUGUUCUUCCCAAUAUCUACGAAUUUCACCUCUACACUGGGAAUUCCACGACCCUCUUCCGAACUCAAGCCCGUACGUAUCAAACGCAGUCCCCAGGUUGAGCCCGGGAAUUUCACGUCUGACUGUACGAACCGCCUACGCGCCCUUUACGCCCAGUCAUUCCGAGCAACGCUAGCCCCCUUCGUAUUACCGCGGCUGCUGGCAC